UACAGAGGUCUCAAGCGUUGUUCGGAUUCAUUGGGCGUAAAGGGUGCGUAGGCGGCGCGGUAAGUCGGGUGUGAAAUCUCGGGGCUUAACUCCGAAACUGCAUUCGAUACUGCCGUGCUUGAGGACUGGAGAGGAGACUGGAGUUUACGGUGUAGCGGUGAAAUGCGUAGAUAUCGUAAGGAAGACCAGUGGCGAAGGCGGGUCUCUGGACAGUUCCUGACGCUGAGGCACGAGGGCCAGGGGAGCAAACGGG
Molecule: ribosomal RNA, 253 nt
Filed under: uncultured bacterium
Lineage: Bacteria
Description: partial 16S ribosomal RNA
Rfam family: Bacterial small subunit ribosomal RNA
Source: RNAcentral